UCAGGAUGAACGCUGGCGGCGUGCCUAACACAUGCAAGUCGAACGAAGCACUUCUGGUUGGAGAUUCGUCGAAGACCGGAUUUGACUUAGUGGCGGACGGGUGAGUAAUGUAUGAGCAACCUGCCUUUCAGAGGGGGACAACAGUUGGAAACGACUGCUAAUACCGCAUAAUGUAUUGAUGGGGCAUCCCGUUGAUACCAAAGGAGCAAUCCGCUGAAAGAUGGGCUCAUAUCUGAUUAGUUAGUUGGCAGGGUAACGGCCUACCAAGACUGCGAUCAGUAGCCGGACUGAGAGGUUGAACGGCCACAUUGGGACUGAGAUACGGCCCAGACUCCUACGGGAGGCAGCAGUGGGGAAUAUUGGGCAAUGGGCGAAAGCCUGACCCAGCAACGCCGCGUGAAGGAAGAAGGUCUUCGGAUUGUAAACUUCUUUUAUGAGGGACGAAGGACGUGACGGUACCUCAUGAAUAAGCCACGGCUAACUACGUGCCAGCCGCAGC
This 499-nucleotide ribosomal RNA is filed under the name uncultured bacterium. Its description in RNAcentral is "bacterial SSU rRNA". It matches the Rfam family "Bacterial small subunit ribosomal RNA", at positions 24 to 518 of the family's 1533-position model. The record is from RNAcentral.